This 447-nucleotide ribosomal RNA is filed under the name uncultured bacterium. Its description in RNAcentral is "bacterial SSU rRNA". It matches the Rfam family "Bacterial small subunit ribosomal RNA", at positions 355 to 825 of the family's 1533-position model. The record is from RNAcentral.
UCGGGAAUUUUGGGCAAUGGGCGAAAGCCUGACCCAGCAACGCCGCGUGAAGGAUGAAGUAUUUCGGUAUGUAAACUUCGAAAGAAUAGGAAGAAUAAAUGACGGUACUAUUUAUAAGGUCCGGCUAGCUACGUGCCAGCAGCCGCGGUAAUACGUAGGGACCAAGCGUUGUUCGGAUUUACUGGGCGUAAAGGGCGCGUAGGCGGCAAUUCAAGUCAUCUGUGAAAUCUCCGGGCUUAACUCGGAACGGUCAGAUGAUACUGCUUUGCUAGAGUGCAGAAGGGGCAAUCGGAAUUCUUGGUGUAGCGGUGAAAUGCGUAGAUAUCAAGAGGAACACCUGAGGUGAAGACGGGUUGCUGGGCUGACACUGACGCUGAGGCGCGAAAGCCAGGGGAGCAAACGGGAUUAGAUACCCUUGUAGUCCCUGAGCGGGCUGGCAAGGCGCAU